AUGGAUGGAUGGACCAAUGGACAGACAGACGGAUGGAUUUAGGAUGAAUGACCUUAUAAAUAUAACAUUUAAAUGAGCUGAAUUUUGAAUACCAAUUUUGUGACAGAGCCUAUCAAUGAUGCUGAAUAAGGUAACUCUCCACGGAAGCAAACUUAAAUCCAGCUUUCAUCUUUGCCAUGACAUAUAAACAGUUAUAGUAGAGACUAAAUUAUUAUAGUUUUAAAACUUAAACUUAAAUAUUAAAUAAACCUUUAAAAUAUCAAAACAAAAUACUAUAGAGAUUAGAGGAAAUCACUGAUGUUUAAGAUGGGUGCUCUCAUUUUAUAUCAAUAUAAACAUGGAAGUAGUUUAAUCGACUAUUUUAGCUUUUGGUUAUCUCUAGUUUAGGGAACUACAUCAGUAGCUUGUAAGGACACAAGAAAAACAACCAUAUUAAAAAGUUUCUCUUGGGUUCUGCACCAGAGCAAAUGGGGUGAGUAAGGAAUUCUCUCUUACUUGGCAGUGACAUCUGUCAAGGAGUAGAUGGCAGGCAGAAAACAAGGGCAGUGUCCUUCCGGCAGCUCUGACAACUGAGCCAGCUGCCAGUGGUUCUAUGACAUCAUUAUCCUGAUGCCCAGGAACUAUCUAAUUCUGAAUAUUAAAUAUUCUACAUAUUCUAGAAAUCAAGGACCACAAACUUCACUAAUAUCCUUUAGAGUAUUUUAGCAUCUAUGCUGCCUAAGUAUUUAAAUUACUCUAAAAAUCAAAGUUGAUUUGACAGAGCUCAUAAAACUCAAGGAGCCUAAAAGGUAAUUAUCGAGCAUCUUCUAUUGAAAAACUUUCUCAUUGCAAAAUGUUUUGUCUUUUUGUAGCAUUUGCCUGUUGUAUUAAUAAGAUCACAAAUGAUAACCUGAAGGACAGGCAUUCCUUAGUCCCUGGCAUUUCUUCAUUUCUGUGGCUUCGUUCUGCUGCUUGUAACCUCAGUCUCAGUGCUUAUAAAAAUAGGAGUACCCAACUAAUUUUUACAUCUUUUGGUAAACGUGUGUGUGUGUGCGCGCGUGUGUGUGUGUGCAUGCGUGUGUUAUACACAUACUAUGUUGAUGCAAAUUUCAGAGGUUAACAUCAAAAUGCCUUCCUCUGUCAUGUUCUACCCUUUUUUAUUUCAAACAAGAUCCUUUCCCUGAACCUGACGCUCACUGUUUCAUCUGUACGCUCUAACAGCGGUUACAGUGCACACUGCUAGCUAGCUCCAGACACCCUCUGUCUCCACACUACAACAUUGAUUACAAACUCUAGUCUCAUACUUGAAAAGUAAGCAAUUUACCCGUUGACCCAACUACACAAUACCCCUUGGUAAGGUUUUUGGUUUUUUGUUUGUUCAUCUGUUUUGAGGGGUUUUCUUUUAUGCAGAUCUUUAUGCCCACAGACCUGCUAAUUCCAGAUUCCAAGAAACAAUAUUUGGACUAUAUACUUACAUCCUUAUAAUUUUGUUAAAGCAAUAUGUUCACAAACUAAAAAUAUAGCAUGAAAAUAUUUAUAGUGAACACAAUGUUUCUUUACCUAGCCUUCCCAUCCUCCAGGACUAUAUCCAAGAUGCAACUAAUUAGUUUCAGGCAUGUCCAACCUUUUGAUGUUGCAGUACAACAUUGUCAUCUACAAAAUUUGUACCUGAGAACCUGCAGUUGAAUUACCAAAAGCAUUCAUAGAAGAAACUCUCAAGUCUUAAGUAGUAUUACAGUUUUGUGCUGCUUUAUCUUCGUGCAUGAAGCCGGUACGGCAGUCUCUGGGUAUGCCUACCUGAUGUUCCUUUCAGUAACUAACUUCACACACAAUUUUCUUUAUAAUUUAGACAUGAAUUAUGUUUAUGUCCCUUAAGGAGAAAAUGAUGCUUUUUCUCUCUUAGGCUGCAUCGAGUUUCACAUGUUUUCUUUAGUAGUUUUGUCUUGUUUUUCUAUGUGGGUUCCUUGAACUCACUAACAUACCAUCAAUAUGGUUUCUGUCACAUGCCUUUGUAAAGUGUCACAUUACCACCUAGGUGGUAGUGCUGCACACCUUUAAUCACAGCACUCAAGAGGCAGAAGCAGGUGGAACUCUGAGUUCAAGGACAGCAUAGUACAGCCAGGGCUACCAGGCUACACAGAGAAACUGUGUCUC
Molecule: long non-coding RNA, 2133 nt
Filed under: Mus musculus (house mouse)
Lineage: Eukaryota; Metazoa; Chordata; Mammalia; Rodentia; Muridae
Description: long non-coding RNA chr5:20395025-20397158
Source: RNAcentral